UCCAGACUCCUACGGGAGGCAGCAGUGGGGGAUAUUGCACAAUGGGGGGAACCCUGAUGCAGCGACGCCGCGUGGGUGAAGGAGCGUUUCGGCGCGUAAAGCCCUAUCGGCAGGGAAGAAGGAGGACGGUACCUGACUAAGAAGCCCCGGCUAACUACGUGCCAGCAGCCGCGGUAAUACGUAGGGGGCAAGCGUUAUCCGGAUUUACUGGGUGUAAAGGGGGCGCAGACGGCAGCGCAAGCCAGGAGUGAAAGCCCGGGGCCCAACCCCGGGACUGCUCUUGGAACUGCGCGGCUGGAGUGCAGGAGGGGCAGGCGGAAUUCCUGGUGUAGCGGUGAAAUGCGUAGAUAUCAGGAGGAACACCGGUGGCGAAGGCGGCCUGCUGGACUGCAACUGACGUUGAGGCCCGAAAGCGUGGGGAGCAAACAGGAUUAGAUACCCCCGUAA
This 447-nucleotide ribosomal RNA is filed under the name uncultured bacterium. RNAcentral's name for it is "partial 16S ribosomal RNA". It matches the Rfam family "Bacterial small subunit ribosomal RNA", at positions 330 to 793 of the family's 1533-position model. The record is from RNAcentral.